AUCUCAGUUACUUGGUGAAUUCAGUUAGUCCUUACUAAGCCGCAAAAGUAAUAAGUGGACUGUUCGGAAUAUAGAAAAAUUUUCAAGAACUGAAUCAAAAUUUCUAGGCGAAUUCAGUGAGUUCCCAAUGCGACAUGCUUGUAUGAGUGUGCUUUUCAAUAUACAGCAACAUUUUAAGAAACGGAAUCUAAGUAUCAUGGUGUAUUCAGUAGGUUCCCAAUAGGAUUCGCAUGUAAUAGGCUUGUUAUUCAAGAUAGAGCAACAGUUUAACGAACUAAAUCACUGUUUCUCUGAGAAUUCAGUUAGUUCCCAGUAGCAGGCUCAGGUAAUAUGUGUACUUUUAAAGAUUUAUCAAAAUUUGGUGAGCCGAAUCUCAGUAACUUGGUGAAUUCAGUUAGUUCCCAAUAUGCCGCAGUAGUAAUAAGUGGACUGUUCAGGAUAUAGAAAAAUUUUCAUGAAUGGAAUCAAAAUUUCUAGGCGAAUUCAGUGAGUUCCCAAUGGGACAUGCUUGUAUGAGUGUGCUUUUCAAUAUAUAGCAACAUUUUAAGGAACGGAAUCUAAGUAUCAUGGUGAAUUCAGCAGGUACCCAAUAGGAUUCGCAUGUAAUAAGCUUGUUUUCGAUAUAGAGCAACGUUUUAACGAACUGAAACACUGUUUCUUUGUGAAUUCAGUUAGUUCCCAGUAGCAGGCUCUUGUAAUAUGUGUACUUCUAAAGAUAUAUCAAAAUUUGGUGAGCCGAAUCUCAGUAACUUGGUGAAUUCAGUUAGUUCCCAAUAGGCCGCAGUAGUAAUAAGUGGACUGUUCAGGAUAUAGAAAAAUUUUCACGAUUUAAAUCAAAAUUUCUAGGAGAAUUCAGUGAGUUCCCAAUGGGACAUGCUUGUAUGAUUGUGCUUUUCAAUAUAUAGCAACGUUUUAAGGAACGGAGUCUAAGUAUCACGUUGAAUUCAGUAGGUUCCCAAUAGGAUUCUCAUGUAAUAAGCUAGUUAUUCGAGAUAGAGCAACGUUUUAACGAACUGAAACACUGUUUCUUUGUGAAUUCAGUUAGUUCCCAGUAGCAGGCUCUUGUAAUAUGUGUACUUUUAAAGAUUUAUCAAAAUUUGGUGAGCCGAAUCUCAGUAAGUUGGUGAAUUCAGUUAGUUCGCUAUAGGCCGCAAUAGCAAUAAGUUGACUUUCGG
Long non-coding RNA from Rattus norvegicus (Norway rat), 1175 nucleotides. Lineage: Eukaryota; Metazoa; Chordata; Mammalia; Rodentia; Muridae. The record is from Ensembl.